UGUUUCAUUUUGUGGUAGCCCUCUGAGGGGAUGUUUAGCACACUCAUUUCAUUCUGUAAAUACUGAGCAACUGCUCUGUCCCAGGGACAGUUCUGAGGCUGGUAUGAGUGUCCAUUAGUGAAGAUGGACUCCUUUAGGGAGUUCUCAUUCCAGUGACUGGAGAGAGAGCACAAACGAGACACGUAAUUAAUUAAUUAUAAUAAAGGGGAUAAAGACUAGGAGAAAACAGAGCAGAGUAAGGGAGCUCGGGAACAUGGGUGUGGGGGAGACGCCAAAUUUAAUACGAUUAGGUGAGUCCCAUUUGGGAGGGCUUUAAAGUGAGGUCAUGUCUAUGGGUGUAUAUAUAAUAUAGCCUUUCUACGUUUGUCUAAUUUUAAUUUCUUAUAAAUCUUCAAACUGCUUAUUUUUUUAAAUUACUUUUUGUAUGCCUUGUAUAACCAGCAAGUGAGGAGUGAAGUGGCCAGAAGUGGUGUUAGCAGGGAAAAGUGCAGCUAUAAAUCCAAGUCACCAGCCUGAGGUGGUGGUUAGGGUCCAGCCGAAAGCAGUGUUGUAAUUAGUGGCCUCUUCUCACGGUGGCGGUGUGAUCCAGGACUGAAGGACCUGAUGGCUGUAACUAGCCCUCUCCUCCAUCACAGAAUUCUGCUCCAACUGUUUACCAGCAAGAAUACAGAUGGGAAACCUAAAGAGAUGAUCCAUUUACAUCCUCAAGAAGACAACAGUGUUUUAAAGCCUCAGACUCUGCAAACCAAUCAGGAAGACAGCAGCAGUGUCUCAACUUUGGCCGUAUUUUCUUGGGCCCUACACAGCAACCACGAAGGAGGGCAGAAACACAUCUUCUGAACUCGUAAUUAUGUGUAACGCUAGUAUCACCAUUUUAAGCAGCAAAUUCUUGGGUUGUUCCCUUGUCACCCAUGCUGUCACCUGAAUAAAAAUAUCCUGCUAUUUCAGUGCCCUUCCUUGACAAAGUACCACAGAGCUGAGGAGCA
Molecule: long non-coding RNA, 986 nt
Organism: Mustela erminea (ermine)
Lineage: Eukaryota; Metazoa; Chordata; Mammalia; Carnivora; Mustelidae
Exons: 3
Source: RefSeq, a predicted model, not a curated record